RNAcentral lists this ribosomal RNA (468 nucleotides) under uncultured bacterium. RNAcentral's name for it is "partial 16S ribosomal RNA". It matches the Rfam family "Bacterial small subunit ribosomal RNA", at positions 28 to 507 of the family's 1533-position model. The record is from RNAcentral.
GACGAACGCUGGCGGCGUGCUUAACACAUGCAAGUCGAACGGUGAAAGAAGAGCUUGCUCUUCUGGAUCAGUGGCGAACGGGUGAGUAACACGUGAGUAACCUGCCCCAGACUCUGGAAUAAGCACUGGAAACGGCGGCUAAUACCGGAUACCAGAAAAAGCUGCAUGGCUACUGUCUGGAAAGUUUUUCGGUCUGGGAUGGACUCGCGGCCUAUCAGCUUGUUGGUGAGGUAACGGCUCACCAAGGCAACGACGGGUAGCCGGCCUGAGAGGGCGACCGGCCACACUGGCAUUGAGAAACGGCCAAGACUCCUACGGGAGGAAGCAGUGGGGAAUAUUGCACAAUGGGCGAAAGCCGGAUGCAGCGACGCCGCGUGAGGGAUGACGGCCUUCGGGUUGUAACCCUCUUUCGGCAGGGAAGAAGCGAAAGUGACGGUACCUGAAGAAGAAGCACCGGCUAACUACGUG